GGCACUAAGUGGCCUGGCGCGGGUGUAGUGCGGAGGGGGGAAGCGUUGGCCUGAAGUAUUGGGCGGAAGUGGCGGGCAGGCGGUCCUUGAAGGAUGAUGUGAAAGCCCACGGCUCAACCGUGGAGGGUCAUUGGAAACUGGGGGACUUGAGUACAGAAGAGGAAAGCGGAAUUCCACGUGUAGCGGUGAAAUGCGUAGAGAGGUGGAGGAACACCAGUGGCGAAGGCGGCUUUCUGGUCUGUAACUGACGCUGAGGCGCGAAAGCGUGGGGAGCAAACAGGAAUAGAUACCCCAGUAGUC
Molecule: ribosomal RNA, 300 nt
Filed under: uncultured Bacillus sp.
Lineage: Bacteria; Bacillati; Bacillota; Bacilli; Caryophanales; Bacillaceae
Description: bacterial SSU rRNA
Rfam family: Bacterial small subunit ribosomal RNA (bases 53-300)
Source: RNAcentral